This 358-nucleotide long non-coding RNA is filed under the name Mytilus galloprovincialis (Mediterranean mussel). Lineage: Eukaryota; Metazoa; Mollusca; Bivalvia; Mytilida; Mytilidae. The record is from RNAcentral.
AUUUAGUUGAGAUUUUGAAACACUUGUUUAACCCCUCGCCAUUUAAGUAUCUGUUCCAAGUCUGGGGCCUCUGGCCUAUGUUAGUUUGGGAUGAACUUUUAUUUUAGAUUUGAGUUUAGUAUGACUUUCAUAUCACUAUUCACUGAUCUGGUAAAAAAAAAAAGCCAUUUCUGUUUUUUAGAGGGAUUCCUUCAGAUGCUUGGCCCCAACUGCAGAUGUUUAUCCUGCUAUUACCCCAAGGGAAUUUUUACAGUUAUUUCAGACCUUUAGUAACCGUUUAUUUGUAAGUUCCACACCACCCGUACAUACCAUGUAUCAGAGAGGACAGUCUUUCUUUUUUUGAUGAGUUCGGUUCUCU